UAGACAAUGGACUGGGGCCUCCUCCAGGAUCCAGUAGUCCGCUAGGAAGAUGUUCCCCCUCUGGAGAAGGCGCACGGAGGUUUAGCAUACCCUCCCCACCAGUGCUCACCUUCCCUCUCCGUUCUCUGCGUACCUCAAGGAGGAGCUGAUGUCCCCAUUUCCAGCCUCAGCAAUUCUUGGUGCCUGCACUUAUGGCCAAGUGGGUAGCCAUAAACUGGGUACCGCACCCUUCCCAGAAUGUCCGGAAUGAGGUCGAGGCAGGUGCCUGGUCCCAGCAAGGGGGCCACCAUGUCAUUGGUGACUGGCAGCUUGCUGGGCAAGCUGGAAAGGCAAUGGAGCAUGACAGGAUUGACGCCAUUCAGAGGAGAAUCUGGAGGAUAUCAUCAGUGGAACCAGGAGUUUCUCCCACUUGAAUCCAGCAGUCUCCCUGGGAGAACUGGGAGAGGACUGUGUCCCAGGAAGGGGAGGAAGAGGUCUGAAUGGGAGGUAAAUUGAAGGGUGGGCAUCCCCUGCCUAGCUCUGCACACCUGAGGUGAAGGUCUUGUGGCACCAGAAGAUUUUGUGGAUGUCAUCCAGCUUUUUCCAGGAGCCCUUGCGGUCCAGCAGCCCUCGUAUCUUCAUGCCCAAGGACCUUAAGGAUGGGGAAGAUCCUCACUGGCUCCCCUCUGCCUAAAGAACAAAGCUCCAAGUGCCAAGCCUGAGUAGUCCAUGAAGCUUCCCAUCAGUCAGUUUCAAUCAACCUUUCCAGCUUUUUCUGUGCACUAGACAAGGCCAACCAAGGCCUUGAGCUCCUGAGCUUAAGUGAUCUUCUGGCCUCAGCUUCAUAUGAGUAUCUGGGACUAUAGGCAUGGAUUACCACACCUGGCUCAAAGAUGAACAUUCUACAAUGGACUAGUAAAAGUGGAAUUGGCAAGCUGAGAGGACUUUGUGUAAAUGUGUAUACUGUUUAAAUUUUUUUAUAGUGAACAUUAUUUUACAAUCAGAGGGGGGAAAAUGCUUGAGAUUAAAUUCCCCUGCCUCUGAACUUCA
Molecule: long non-coding RNA, 1029 nt
Organism: Marmota monax (woodchuck)
Lineage: Eukaryota; Metazoa; Chordata; Mammalia; Rodentia; Sciuridae
Exons: 4
Source: RefSeq, a predicted model, not a curated record